This 388-nucleotide ribosomal RNA is filed under the name uncultured bacterium. RNAcentral describes it as "bacterial SSU rRNA". It matches the Rfam family "Bacterial small subunit ribosomal RNA", at positions 29 to 416 of the family's 1533-position model. The record is from RNAcentral.
AUUGAACGCUGGCGGCAUGCCUAACACAUGCAAGUCGAACGGUAACGCGGGGGCAACCCUGGCGACGAGUGGCGGACGGGUGAGUAAUACAUCGGAACGUGCCCAGUAGUGGGGGAUAGCCCGGCGAAAGCCGGAUUAAUACCGCAUACGACCUACGGGUGAAAGCGGGGGAUCGCAAGACCUCGCGCUAUUGGAGCGGCCGAUGUCAGAUUAGCUAGUUGGUGGGGUAAAAGCCUACCAAGGCGACGAUCUGUAGCUGGUCUGAGAGGACGACCAGCCACACUGGGACUGAGACACGGCCCAGACUCCUACGGGAGGCAGCAGUGGGGAAUUUUGGGACAAUGGGGGGCAACCCUGAUCCAGCCAUGCCGCGUGCGGGAAGAAGGCC